CGUUUACAUACCUGUUUUCGUACGAUCAACGAAGUUAAGCAACACCGAGCCUGGUCAGUACCUAGAUGGGUAACUGCUUGGGAAUACGAGGUGCUGUAA
Non-coding RNA from Acanthosepion pharaonis, 99 nucleotides. The record is from the annotation of a GenBank genome assembly. Lineage: Eukaryota; Metazoa; Mollusca; Cephalopoda; Sepiida; Sepiidae.